AUGGCCAGCAAUGGCGUCAAGGUCACCUACAUCGAGACGCAGUUCGUCACCUCCGACGCCGCGGGCUUCAAGUCCCUCGUGCAGCGCCUCACCGGCAAGUCCGCCGAGGCCGGAGCCGAAGCAGCCGCACGUCCGCUCCACCGGCCGCGCCCCAGCCGCCCAGCCGCCGAGGGGAGGAACGCUGCCGCCGGAGCACGAAGCCAUUUCAUGCCCGCCACCGCGGGCGCGGCCGGUACAGCCGGGAACGACGUGCGGGCUGCCAACGCCAACGCCGGCGCCGCGCAGCAGACGUUUCCGGACGAGCUGUACGGCCUCUGCGAUUACUCGGAGCUGUUCUGCGCGGGCGACCGGCGCCAUGGCGGCAGUUACAGUGAUUUUCUCUAUUGA
RNAcentral lists this ribosomal RNA (387 nucleotides) under Triticum aestivum (bread wheat). Its description in RNAcentral is "partial small subunit ribosomal RNA". The record is from RNAcentral. Lineage: Eukaryota; Viridiplantae; Streptophyta; Magnoliopsida; Poales; Poaceae.